This 6662-nucleotide long non-coding RNA is filed under the name Canis lupus familiaris (dog). Its description in RNAcentral is "lncRNA (ENSCAFG00000050208.1)". Lineage: Eukaryota; Metazoa; Chordata; Mammalia; Carnivora; Canidae. The record is from RNAcentral.
AACGCUGGUGUCUGUAAGCCACAAAGCACUCACACCUCUUGGCUGGUGAUCCACUGGCCAAAGUUGGAAUUCACUUGCCAACACCAGGGCAUACGCAAGAGGAACUGGCCACUGCUGACCAGUGAACCUGCCACCGAAUCUUGAUGAAAGGUUCCCACUACAUUUGCAGAACAGAUGCUGAGACCAAGGGAUCAUAUUUUACUGUAAUGGAAGCCGUCCGAAUGUAUGCCUCACCCAUCUGUCUUCUCUCAAGAAAAAUAUAAACUUCUCAGGAAAACCGACACUUUCUACAACUCCUGACAUGGUGUGAGGCACACAACUGAUUUCUGUGAGACAAUGUAGAAGUCAGGACUCAGCUCUGCAACCUGACUGGGUCUGAAUCUUCACACCAUUUUUUGGCUCUGUGGCAGCAGGUACUCACUUCUUCCUAUCAAUACAAAGUGUGGAGAGAGCCUUCUCUGUGCAAGCUGCCGAGGGUACAAAGAUGAAGAACACCUGAGAUGAUGUCACCUGGCAAGAUCUUCUUUUCUCGCCUUUUCCCUAUUAUACUUGAGGCUGCAAGGAGUCUCUAAGAAGAUGUUAGUUAGCAGGUGUCAAAAAAUCUUUUUUAAGCAAGUCCUUUAAUCCUUUUGGGUCUGUUUCUUACACUUCAAAGUCAGAAGAUUCGGCUAGUUGAUCUUUAAGGCUCCUUCAAGCUCUAAGAGUGUACGAUUUUAUAAUCAUGGGGAUUUGGUUGUUUGUAAAAACUCUCACUUCCAUUUCAAUAAUUUUUUUCCCUCCCAUUCUGCUUCUCAAGGACUAGGAAAGCCCACAGGGGACUCAUUUUUGGUCACAAAAAAUGAAGCGCCCAAACCCCUCAACCCAGACCCAACCACUGGCUUUGAUGACAAAAGAACAGAGGGAGGAGAGUUCUCUGCAGACCUAGGAAGCUGGCACAUGACUCUCUAUGAGGCAGGUGGGCCUGAGGGCUCUCUGAGGGGCCCAGCUGCAAUCCUCACACAAAUCAAGCUGGCUGUUGGAGGGGACACAGAUCAGAUCAGGAGCAAAGAGAUGCUUUCUGGCUGGGACCUACAGAAGGAACUGCCCAGUCUCCCACUGUUUUACACCAUAGUCCAGCUUCUCCUGGCAGGAAGCAAACCUAUAUAGAGAUUAACAGAGGCUUGAUGGUCAGUUGGAUAGCCACAGACCCUCACUUUAUUCCUGGGUCCAUUAAACAGAAGAAUAAACAGUCAAUCAAAGUUGAGCCAUCUCUAGGCUCCUGAGGUAUUUUAAUGAUCAUUAUAUGAUCUCUGAAGCUUUCAAGCACAGUGCAUUAAAGGGAAAAAAAUCACUUAAAAAGAACAUCUCUAAGAAGCUGUUUCAUCUCAGGCUGGAUGUGAAUGGACCAGGAUGUGGGAUCCCUAGAAACUGACAUUCACAACUGAGAAGACUCAAGCAUGGAGAUGCCUCUACACUCCAACAGUUGCACCAGAGUUCUUGCUAAAGCAACUUAGAAAACUUUUUAGAAAUCUGGGGAACAAAACUCUAAGGGAGAAUGGGGUUCAGUGACUCUUUGCCAGGGCCCAAAGAGGAGGUGGCUCUGAUCCUCACCUGUGCCAUCACCACCCAGAGGAGAAAGGGCCUUUCAAGGGCCUACAGAGAUGGCCUAUGAUUACAAAUUCCCAUGCUCUCUCAUAUUUUUCAUCAGCUCCGCAAUUGUGGGUUGGCAUUUUAUGAAAUAAUUGACCACAUAUAUUGCUAGCAAUAGAAUUAUAGAAGAUUGUCCUGGGAACGCAGGAGAGGAAAAACUGAAUUGGGGCAUAAUCCCAAAUUCCUAUCAUGGCAGCCCUGUACAACAAACAACUCUUGGUGUGUCAAUGUGGGAGUGUGCUUGUCCCCUGACCAAUCUUGGGCAGUCCCCAAGAGGACUCUCAAGAGGGUCUGAUGGCCACAAAAUUACCAUUAAGUUCCCUGAUGGUGGGACCAGCACUGACCAGGAAAAAUACUUUGUCAGAUAAAAACUCACAGCUUGAAGGGAUGAUACAUUUUCCUCUCCCGUCGCCCUGAACUUCACACAGUUUCCUCCGUGAAAGCAAUCAUCUUUGCUGUUCUCUGCUAGUGGGAAGCAAGCCAGGCUCUAGCAUUCUGAAAAAUACUGAAGAAAUGCUUCCCUGUUUAUCAUCUAAGGGAGAGACUGCCUCAAAGAAACUUCGGGAGAGAGAGCUUUUGCUUCUCUUGAAAGGUGGGACAGAGGUUAUAUGGAUACAGGCUUCUGGAGAGAAGGGUGAGGUAUGAAGUCCAAACAGGGAGACUGACCACAGGUAUGUCACUUGCAGCCUCAGCCUGAUCGGGUCCAGAAGGGCUACAUGUGCACUACAGGCUGUAAAGGUGCAGCCUUUGGUUUCACGCAACACAGGGUUUUUUUGUCCGUUAUAUAUUUGGAGGCAAGAGUCCGCAUAGCUUUUGGCAGCCACAAACCCCGCCAUAUGCUAGCAGAGUGAGGGCUGAAUAACAUGCUGCCUAAUCCUUUAGUGUAUCACAGAUGAGUCACAUCCAUUUUUGACACUUGGAGGAUAUAAAUAGAAAGAUUUGAGGAGAAGAAAUAAAGAAUCCACAUCUUGGACUCUUCCAAACUUUUCUCGCUAGUAUGUGCCAUUUUCCCUGGCAGUCUUGGCUGUGAUAAAACUAAGUCAGAAGAAGAGCCUUUGCUCAAACUUUUGAAUAUCUUUGACACAUUCGAUUCAGAGAGCUUGGUGGAAAGAUGGAGAACAAGCAUGCUUUAUUUCUUUUUUUUUAAGAUUUUAUUUAUUUAUUCAUGAGAGACACAGAGAGAGAAGCAGAGAUAUAGGCAGAGGGAGAAGCAGGCUCCCUGCAGGGAGCCCAACAUGGGACUUGAUCCCAGGUCUCCAGGAUCACGCCCUGGGCUGAAGGCUGCGCUAAACCGCUGAGCCACCCGGACUGCCCAAGCAUGCUUUAUUUCUUAGAACCCAGUAGAAUAUCUGAGGCCAGGAGUGGGGAGAAGGGAGAAAACUUAUGGGCAACAGGCAUCAACUUGAAGUCCUAUGGAGCUAACAUUAUUCUGGUGCUGUCAUGACCUCAUUAGUGUGGGGAAGCCAGAAUCACACAGAGGUUCCUGCACCAGGAAUCUGACUUCAGAGAGCAUCAAGGCAAAAGGCCAGAUACUGGUAAUUUUUCUGUUUUGUACUUAGUGGCUUCCUGACAAAAUGAUCCAUUACUUUGUCUUUCUUGCUGUUCUUUGGAGGUGAAACAUAAAGCUUCACCACUUUUUAUAUCAAAAUGAUUAUAAAUAAAUAUAUAUAUACACACACAUACAUAUAUAUGUAUAUACAUAUAUAUGUGUGUAUAUAUAUGUGUUUAUAGAUGUAUAUAUGUGUGUACAUAUAUCUAUGUGUGUAUAUAUAUGUAUAUAUAUGUGUGUGUGUGUAUAUAUAUAUAUAUAUAUACAUAUUUGUAUAUAUACACACCAGAGAAGCCUGGCACAGAGGCACUCCGAAGGAAGCUGCCCCAGAGGAGGAAGAAAUAGCCAGCAAUGCUUAGUUACAAGCCACAGAAAUGAGGUGACCUGGGAUAGUCAAUAUGUCAAAUAUGUCAACAAAUAUUUCCAAAGCAGUCACUAGAAUAGUAUAAUUUAAAAGGCAUAGUUCCUGCCCUGGGGAGCUUAUAAUAUUUGCUGGGGCAGGAGGAGGAAGAGAUAAAUAUUUAACAACUCGAAGACAGUGAAACUUGAGGCGAAUAAGGCCAGAGACUCUCUAAGAGUUUGCCAGAGUGAAAUCACAGACAGAAAAAACUCAAAGGCCAUUUAGUCUAUUAUGCACAAGUCUUAAGAUUAGUCUUCUUUCUGGAUGUCUAAUUAAUUAGCACUAUACUUGGCAAUUACUAAAAUAAUUAUUUCUUGAGGCAUAGAAACCCUUGAUAGGACUUAGACAAAAGAAGGAUAGGAAUGUGUGAGUGUGUUUGUGUGUGUGUGUGUGUGUGUGUGUGAGAGAGAGAGAGAGAGAGAAAGCAAGAGAGAAUAAGGGAGAGAAGAGAAAGGAAAGGAGAGAAGAGGAGGAAGAAGGAGAAAAGGGGAAGAUUAAGGAGGGAAAGAAAGGACAAGAGAAAGUAAAGGAGAGGAGGAAAAAGGGGAGGAAGAUACUGAGAGGAGAGAUGAUCAACUUAGGCCACCCCCACCCCACCUAUCACCAAACCACCAAGCACUUUAUGCCAAUAUCAGAGUUAUUAGUCACUGCCAUCCACAAAUGAUUUUAAGUAAUCCAAAAGUAUGAGAAGCAUUUAAUGUGCUUUACAGAACAAGCUAAAUUAAAAUGAUUCUUGCACCUGGACCCGUGGACUCCUCGGGGGCUGUCUGAUGCAGGAAGUUUUGAGCACACACACAGACAGAGGACAGCAAGCCUACCUCAGGGCAGGGCCUUGAGAACCCUGCCUUUUUAGGUGCUCCAGAGGAGAACAGAGAAUGUUUCUGUGUUCAUCUGAGUGGGUAGAGAUAGGAAGGAUUAAUUAUGUCAUUAAGUAGUAUAUAAUUAUCAGGCACAUUUAAUAUACUGUAUACUUAACAGUAAUUUUCUGAAGCAAUUUUACAUUAUUAUGUUAUUCCCACAACUAAAAUUUUUUCGGUUUGUUUUUUUGUGUUUUUUUGUUUUUGUUUUUGUUUUUGUUUUUGUUUUUUUGUUUUGAAAUUCAAUAGUUCUACAAGGAGCUCCAUGUCCAUUCUUUAAAAAUUUGAUUUAUUUACUUUGAGAGAGAGAGCACGCAGGCACACACAAGCAGGGUGAAGGGCAGAGGGAGAGAGAGAAUCUCAAGCAGAUUCUGUGUUGAGUGCAAGGCCUGACACAGGGCUUAAUCGCACAACCCUGAGAUCAUGACCUGAGUUGAAACUGAGAGUCGGAUGCUCAACCAACUGAGCCACCCAGGCACCCCUCCGUGCACCUUCUUUAGAUUAAUUCCACCACCCAGCAUAGGAGAAGGGGCAGAUUAUAUCAAAGCUCUAAGCAUAUUGGAUUAUAUUUAGGUAUUCAUAUUCUCUUGCUUGCUCUCUCCAAUGUGCUGGUCCAUGGUUUCUUUCUCAAUCUCUCAUCGUAUUGUGACACAGGGAGUAAAAUUGGAUCACAGUCUCUAGAUGAAGAUCACAGAAUAGGGCUAUUUCAGUUCAACUCCCUUCCUUAAAUAAAAUUUUAAAAGAAUGGAACACAGAAAUAUUAACUCUGCCAUUGUUAAUGAAACUAGAAGACAGAAGACAGCCACAACUCCAAACCUCAGGCUCUGAGGAAUGGAUGCCAUGAGAGUGAAACUGGGAAGAGAGAAACUGCCUGAGAAGAGAUAUAAGGAUGGAUAUGGGCCUCUACAGAUCCCUGACGGGACAUAGAGGUCUCCAAAACGAAGGCGUCUGGAGUGGCCCAGUGGGCUCUUCACUGAAGUGUCAGGAGCUAGGAACACAGGCAGGGCCAGAGGUCCCCCUGAGUCUUGUUCCAGGCUGUGGAGCAGAAGGCAAGGCCAGACUGGUACUGAGUAUACAAAUAUAUUUGCAGGAGGCAUAGUGGGGAGGAAGCUGGGUGGCAGAGGGAACAUGACCAGACACUGCCUUUGCAGCAGCGAAUCUAAACCUGGUAAACAUGGUUCCAAACCAAAGAUAAUUUUGCCCUCCAGGGGACACUUAAAAAUGUCUUUUUAACUUUUUUAGUUGUCACAACUGGGGCGUCAGGGGUGUGUUAUGGCCUCUAAUGGGCAGAAUUAAAAGAUGCAAUUAAACAUCUAAAAUGCACAGGACCUCCCUCACAACAGAGGAUUAUCCAAUCCAAAAUGUUAAUAGUAGCAGAGCUGAGAAGCCCUGUGCUAAAUCAUCAGAUUAGAGGCUGCCCUGGAGCCAUAUGCACCUCCUGCUUGCCUGCAAAGGGAGAAUUUGGGUCCUCGAGCAGAGAUUUGCCCCUAGGGAUGUUUUCAGGACUCAGUGAAUUUGAUGGGGAAGUCUUUUGCAACAACAUAUUUAAACUGAAGCUGUUGCUACCCUACCUCACACCCAACCACCAUAAUUAAUAGUUCUUCAGUAAAUGACUGGCUUAGGUAGAAAAGCUUCCAUUCAAAAGUAAGUAAUAAUCAAAAGGAAAUCGACAUGCAAAAAAGUUGAGAGCUUUGGUGUAGAGCAUGAGGUUUAGGAUUUGAAAGACCUGGGUUCAAAUACUUAAAAAGUCUUCCUAGCAGCCUGGUGAAAAAAUAACUAGCUUUUAUCUAAGGUUGAGUCUAAUGAGAGGCAAUCCUCAUGGGUCGGCCAAGAGAAACAAGUUUCCAGGAAGGAUAGCCAUUUGAAGACCUCCUGUUUGUGGUGAGGUUGGCUGAAUCUGCAGUUUGUCAGGUUGAGUAUCUUCCUCCAGCCCAGGAAUCUGCAGGGACUGUCUCCCCAGCUCUGAAGAUAGCAAGGCAGGGCGGAACACUGAAGCUGCCUUUAUUGCUGUGUUUUUCUGCUCUGGAAUGCUUGAGAUCAACUCUGUGGUUCAAAAGCGUCCCUUUUAAAUGGCCCCAAAAGAACUUUCCAGUAAAUCUGAGUCAUCAAAAUGCAGUCCAAAUAUGUGUGGAGGCCUGCCUGAUACCCAGCUCAACAGGCCAUAAGAGCCAAUUCAGGUGACUCCAGUCAUAAACUCACUGAAGGAAAAAAAAAAAAAAAAAAAAAA